Long non-coding RNA from Bombyx mori (domestic silkworm), 1592 nucleotides. RefSeq lists it as uncharacterized. Lineage: Eukaryota; Metazoa; Arthropoda; Insecta; Lepidoptera; Bombycidae. The record is from RefSeq and is a predicted model, not a curated record. The transcript is spliced from 3 exons.
UUUUUCGUCCUUAAUUACUCGUAAAUAUUCAUUUUCGAUUGUUCUUAUAUAAAAUACGUUUGUUCUCUUUCGAAAUUACUCAUUUUUUGUUUAAUUAAUUGUAUUAGUUGAAUAAAUGUAUACAAAAUAUGUGUACUGCGCAUGCCAUAAGUGUAUAAUCUAUGGCGCAUGCGUCAACUAUAAUGCCUAAACUUUCUACGCGGUUUUAAUCGUGAAAAAAAAACAAUUAUAAAUCCUGAAGGAUCAAUUAAUUGGUAUACAGUUUAAUUAAAAAAAAAAAAACAAAAUAAAUAAAAUAAUGUGCAUUCGCGUAAAGUUAGACCAAAUACAUUUUUUCCAUCCUCCUAUAUACCUAUCGCUAUGAAGGUAUAAAAAAGAUAGGUUAAGAGUUCACAUAGCUGGAAAACUACAUGGAGAAUUAUAUGCAAUACAAGAUAAUGAGCGCCAUCAAAUGAAUUCGAAUGAAACCAAACUGUUUACCAUCCAAAUUCGAUUGUCGGGCAGAUAGAAAACGAAAAUUCACUCAUAGUGAACCUCGGCCUGCAUUUGUGAAACGGCAAAGACUCACUAUUAUCAAGGAAAUUAAAGAGACGACUAAAAAUGAGAUGUGUCGUAUUAUUAUACCUUUGCCAUCUUGUAGUCAAGAUGUCCAGCCACUUGAAAAUAGGUGUAGCAAUGACAAAGCUAUCCAAGUAGCUCCAGCACAGGAACACAAAGGCAAGGCAAGUGUGUAUUGCCACAUCACCCCUUAAUAUAUCUGAAGCAAGUAUAAGUAAACAAUCAGAACCAGCAAAAAAAAAACUGUUGUUCCUGAGGACAAAUUUGACAGUGAUGAGUCAAAUGCACCAGCAACAGAAGGAUCAACUGUUGACUAUGAGUUAUCUCUCUAUAUCUCCACUCCAUCAAAGACUUGUGCACUUCAGACUAUAGCUCUCAAGAAGACUAAAAAGUUGAAAAAAUGAAUGUGUUAACAACUUUAUCUAAAGUGAAAAAUAAACAAUGUUUAUAUAUUGGUCUUCCACAAGAAUUAUGUUUCAUAAUAGGCUUGAUUGAGAAACAUACAAAUGUUUCUGAACAAAAUAUUAUAUUAUGUCUGAUGAGAAUAACAUUAAAUAGAACAUUCUCUCAAUUGGCUGAUGAUUUCGAUUUAUCUGUAAGUCAAGCAAGCAAUAUAUUUUUCAACAAACUCCCAGAAAUUGCAAAUGUAAUAUCACCCCUUGUUAGACUAUAAAAAAAACAAUACAAUAAAUAUAUAUGCAGGAAGGAUAAUUGAUGUCAACUUGGUGGAAAAUAGAAAGUUUUUAGAUAGUUUGCCACCUACAAAACUCUUUAAUUAAAUAAGUAAUCCUUACUUAUAAAUAGGAAGUUUUGUAAGUAUUUUCACUCUUCAUUCAAAAACUACUGAACAGAUUUUAAUAAGACUUUUAUGCUGGUCUUCUAUGGUUAGCAACUCAUUAUUAUUUUGAUUCUGUUUUCCACAAAUGUGCUAAAUAUGGGCUUAUAUAUAUGAAAAGGAAUAAAUAUUAAUGUUAUGUAACCUUUGUACCUGUAUGUUAAGAAUAAUUUUUAAUAAAACAUAAUUUAAAUUGAAA